AUCCCAAGGCUUUUAUCCACCCCACCACUAGACAGCACCACUCAUCCCAAGGCCUUUAUCCACCCCACAACUAGACAGCACCACUCAUCCCAAGGCCUUUAUCCAGCCCACCACUAGACAGCACCACUCAUCCCAAGGCCUAUAUCCACCUCCUAGAUAGGCCUAUAUCCACUCCCUAUAUCCACCCCACCCCCUAGAUAGGCCUAUAUCCACUCCCUAUAUCCACCCCACCCCCUAGACAGGCCUAUAUCCACUCCCUAUAUCCACCCCACUCCCUAGAUAUACCUAUAUCCACCCCCUAUAUCCACCCCACCCCCUAGAUAGACCUAUAUCCACUCCCUAUAUCCACCCCCUAUAUCCACUCCACCCCCUAGAUAGGCCUAUAUCCACCCCCUAUAUCCAUCACCUAUAUCCACUCCACACCCUCGAUAGGCCUAUAUCCACUCCACCCCUACAUAGACCUAUAUCCACCCCCUAUAUCCACUCCACGCCUAGAUAGGCCUAUAUCCACCCCCUAUAUCCACUCGACCACCUAGAUAGGCCUAUAUCCACCACCUAUAUCCACUCCAC
Long non-coding RNA from Oncorhynchus tshawytscha (Chinook salmon), 570 nucleotides. NCBI's taxonomy places the organism in Eukaryota, Metazoa, Chordata, Actinopteri, Salmoniformes, Salmonidae. The record is from Ensembl.